Actinia tenebrosa (Australian red waratah sea anemone) is the source of this 474-nucleotide long non-coding RNA. NCBI's taxonomy places the organism in Eukaryota, Metazoa, Cnidaria, Anthozoa, Actiniaria, Actiniidae. The record is from RefSeq and is a predicted model, not a curated record.
UCAACAAUGUAGGCUCGGUUGKUGAUAAAAAAUGCGUUUUUUCGACGCAAACUAGAAGAAAGCAAUGCUAUGGUCAUGUCAGUCCUUGUAACAUCAAUCUUGCUCGUGCUGCUGGUGUAAGUGAAGGAGAAAACAUGUAUUUUUCAUAAAAACAAAGUUAUGAAAAGCGAUCGACGGUGCUCCUGUCCUUCGACGUGGGGACACAGCAAAACACUCCACAAACAUCCAAUUCCAACACGAAUGUUUAGAAUUUUGGACACAGCUGGUGAAAAGAAAAAUGAAUAUAAACCUGGCACAAGAUGGUGCCACAAAUGUCAACAGAAUGCGGACGCAAAGUUAACGGCGAAAGAUGAAACGCCGACUGCGAAGACAUUGAGAAAAAGGGUUUCCGACCAAAUCAUCGAUAACAACUAUGUCAAAACACGAAGGAGACUACAAUAUGACAAUAAUAUAAACCAUCAGGUAAAUAAAAAU